AUGGAGCAGCUCCGGACGAUCGGGCGGGAGCUGGCGAUGGGGUCGCAGGGCGGGUGGGGGCAGUCGAAGGAGUUCCUGGACCUGGUCAAGUCCAUCGGCGAGGCGCGCUCCAAGGCGGAGGAGGACCGCAUCAUCUCGCGCGAGCUGGAGCACCUCAAGCGCCGCCUCGCCGACCCCGACGUGCCGCGCCGCAAGAUGAAGGAGCUCCUCCUCCGCCUCGUCUACGCCGAGAUGCUCGGCCACGACGCCUCCUUCGGCCACAUCCACGCCGUCAAGAUGACCCACGACGAGUCCCUCCCGCUCAAGCGCACGGGGUACCUCGCCGUCGCGCUCUUCAUCGACGAGCGCCACGACCUCGUCAUCCUCGUCGUCAACACCAUCCAGAAGGACCUCAGGUCCGACAACUACCUCGUCGUCUGCGCCGCGCUCACCGCCGCCAGCCGCCUCAUCGGCGAGGAGGCCAUCCCCGCCGUGCUGCCCCAGGUCGUCGAUCUCCUCGCGCACCCCAAGGAGGCCGUAAGGAAGAAGGCCGUCAUGGCGCUCCACCGAUUCUACCAGCGAUCCCCUUCCUCCGUUUCCCACCUCGUCUCCAACUUCCGCNNNAGACUCUGUGAUAAUGAUCCUGGGGUGAUGGGUGCAACUCUGUGCCCACUCUAUGACCUGAUUUUGGAAGAUCCAAAUGCGUAUAAGGACUUAGUUGUUAGUUUUGUUAACAUCCUCAAACAAGUUGCGGAGAGGAGGCUUCCAACUUCCUAUGAUUACCAUCAAAUGCCUGCACCAUUUAUUCAGAUAAAACUACUGAAAAUACUUGCUGUGCUGGGUAGCGGCGACAAGUCAGCGAGUGGUCAUAUGUACACUGUCUUGGGUGACAUAUUCAGGAAGGGUGACACAGCGAGCAACAUUGGGAAUGCAAUAUUGUAUGAAUGCAUAUGCUGUGUCUCAUGCAUUUUCCCAAACUCUAAGAUGCUAGACGCUGCUGCUGAAACAACAUCGAAAUUUUUGAAGAGCGAUAGCCAUAAUCUUAAGUACAUGGGAAUUGAUGCUCUUGGACGACUAAUAAAAAUAAAUCCUGAUAUUGCAGAACAGCACCAAUUGGCUGUUAUCGAUUGCUUAGAGGACCCUGAUGACACUUUGAAGCGUAAGACUUUUGAGCUUCUUUAUAAGAUGACAAAAUCGACUAAUGUUGAAGUGAUUGUUGAUCGGAUGAUCGAGUACAUGAUCAGCAUAACUGAUCACCACUAUAAGGCAGAAAUUGCAUCACGUUGUGUUGAGCUAGCAGAACAAUUUGCGCCCAGCAACCAGUGGUUCAUUCAGACCAUGAACAAAGUCUUUGAGCAUGCUGGGGACCUUGUCAACAUUAGAGUGGCACACAAUUUAAUGCGGCUUAUCGCUGAAGGAUUUGGAGAGGAGGAUGAAGGUGCUGAUAGUCAAUUGAGAUCAUCAGCUGUCAAUUCCUACCUCCGUAUUCUGGGGGAGCCAAAGCUUCCAUCCUCAUUUUUGCAGAUCAUAUGCUGGGUUUUGGGGGAAUAUGGAACAGCAGAUGGGAAGCAUCCUGCUUCCUAUAUUAUCGGGAAGUUAUGUGAUGUUGCAGAGGCCCACCCAACUGAUGAUACUGUCAGGGGUUAUGCAGUCUCGGCAAUUUUGAAGAUUUUUGCAUUUGAAAUUGCUGUUGGAAGGAAAUCUGAUAUGUUGCCCGAGUUUCAGUCAUUGGUAGAUGAAUUAUCAUCUUCACAUUCAACAGACUUGCAGCAGCGUGCAUAUGAGGUACAAGCUUUACUAGGCUUGGACAAACAGGCUGUUGAAAGCGUAAUGCCCAUAGAUGCAAGCUGUGAAGAUAUUGAGGUCGACAGAAACCUCUCAUUUCUGAACAGUUAUGUGCAGCAAGCCUUGGAAAACGGUGCGACACCUUACAUUCCUGAAAGUGAACGCUCAGGCGUUGUAAGUGUUGGUAACUACAGAGCCCAAGACCAACAUGAGACAUCUGCCCAUGCUCUUAGAUUUGAAGCCUAUGAGCUACCUAAACCUUCACUACCUACAGCAACCUCACAAAGUAGUGUUUCCCUGCCGACUACUGAUCUUGUUCCAGUUCCAGAACAAAGUCACUAUAGGGAAGACCAUCAUCAGGGAAGGUCCCAUCCAUCAGCCAAUGCAGUUUCUGGUGAAUUUGGUGCCAAACUUCGUCUUGAUGGGGUUCAAAAGAAAUGGGGAAGGGAAUCCUAUACCUCCUCUUCUACACCUUCAAGCUCGACCUCUAGCCAACAAGCAGCCAAUGGGGGCUCUAACUCGGAUGGAGGAUUGGUAACUUCACAGGCACGUGAGUCCUCGUAUGGUUCCAAGAGUCAGCAGGGAACAGAAGUUUCAGCAGAAAAGCAACGGCUGGCUGCUUCACUUUUUGGUUCCUCAGCUGCUAAACCUAAUCGGAAGGGACAUGCUGGUCGGAAGGCAGCAAAAGAGAGUUCCUCGACUGAGAAAGUAACACCUCAGCCUGCUAAGGAGCAAGUAACCCCUGCUGCCCCACCACCAGAUCUGUUGGAUCUGGGUGAAGAGCCUGUUUCAUCAAGUGCUCCAUCUGCUGACCCCUUCUCGCAGUUAGACGGGCUACUUGGACCUGCAUCAGCCUCUCCCGCGCCUUCUGGAACCUCAGCUCCCAGUGCUUCCAACACACCAGAUCUUAUGUCCAUCUUCUCGGAUGAUAUACAAACUGGAGCCACAAGUGCAUCCACUGAACCCACACAAAAAGGAGCAACGACGAAAAAGGGCCAUAGCCUUCAAGAUGCGCUGCAGAAGGACGCCACCGCGAGGCAGGUUGGCGUGACCCCAACAGGGAACAACCCAAAUCUUUUCAAGGACUUGCUAGGCUAG
Molecule: ribosomal RNA, 2862 nt
Filed under: Triticum aestivum (bread wheat)
Lineage: Eukaryota; Viridiplantae; Streptophyta; Magnoliopsida; Poales; Poaceae
Description: partial small subunit ribosomal RNA
Source: RNAcentral